GCACGUAGUUAGCCGGUGCUUCUUCUUCCGGUACCGUCAUCCAUCCGGGGUAUUAGCCCGGACGAUUUCGUUCCGGCCGAAAGAGCUUUACAACCCGAAGGCCUUCUUCACUCACGCGGCAUGGCUGGAUCAGGCUUGCGCCCAUUGUCCAAAAUUUCCCACUGCUGCCUCCCGUAGGAGUCUGGGCCGUGUCUCAGUCCCAGUGUGGCUGAUCAUCCUCUCAGACCAGCUACCGAUCGUCGCCUUGGUAGGCCAUUACCCCACCAACUAGCUAAUCGGACAUCGGCCGCUCCAAUAGCGCGAGGCCUUGCGGUCCCCCGCUUUCCACCGUAGUGCGUAUGCGGUAUUAGCACAUCUUUCGACGCGUUAUCCCCCACUACUGGGCACGUUCCGAUGCAUUACUCACCCGUUCGCCACUCGCCACCAGGGUUGCCCCCGUGCUGCCGUUCGACUUGCAUGUGUAAAGCAUGCCGCCAGCGUUCAAU
Molecule: ribosomal RNA, 485 nt
Filed under: uncultured bacterium
Lineage: Bacteria
Description: partial 16S rRNA
Source: RNAcentral